GGAAGAUGGUCGAAUGCACAAGACAUUGCGGACGACAAGGCACAACACCCUCAUUAGGUCUACUGAUUAUCAGCUCCAAAUCCAGGUUACUUUGACACAAUGUCAAAGGAAGAUUGCGAAUUUCACAUGGCAAGACACAGGAGAUCAGAGGUAAAAUCAUUAGUGUGUGAUAAUAUUCGGAGUUAUAUGCCUUUUUUAUUCAAAAACUGUUGAUAAUUCAACUUAACAUUAUUGACUCAAAUGUUCAAUGUAGUGAGAUAUUAGUGGAUAUGUUCGAAUUUAGCCUUAAUCGAAAAGAUAUGCAAUCCUUGCGGGAGAACCAAUGGGUAUCAGAUAGCGUAAGCCAAGAGAAAAAUCAAAAUUUUUUUAUUUCACUAAUUUACUUAUUGUAGUUUUGGAGAUAGUUUCACCUUUUGGAAUGCUAAAAAAAUUUUGCACUUAUACUCACCUCUCUUUUAGGUCAUUGAUAUGUAUGCAAAGUUGUUGAAUAUGGAUGCGAGUAAAAGACUGAUGAAGGUUAAGUGGUACAUUGUCGAGCCAUGUGUUGUUGUGAGUAUAAUGGUCAACUUUUUUUUAACAACCAACUAACACCAUGCAUAUACAGUUGCACUCAUUGUUAGUUAAGUUAGAAAAUUUGAUUCCAAUAUUUAAUAAGUAGUAUUGGUUCCAGUGUUGCAAUUUCUAACUAUCCUAUAAGUUUCGAUCCAAUUUCAUUGAUUUGUUGGGCAGGCUGCCAUUCAACGUGUGGACCGAUUUGAGAAAAUGUCUGAUAAUGACUUAUAUUCGCAAUUGAACAAGUGGUUCAAAAUAAGAGCAGAUAAUGCUUCAAGUCUAGCAAAUGCCGAUAUUGUGAUCAAUCUCUUAUAACUCCUGGAUCAAAUAUCUUUUACUCUAUAUCAAAUGUGUUGCAUUUGUAAAGUCUAACACGUUAUAUUUUUAGAUACUGGUUCCAGUGGUGAACAAAAAUCACUGGUUUGUAUACUCAUUUGAUGUUGCACAAGGCAUUGUUCAUCUCCUUGACUCACGAGUUGAUUCGUCACGGGUUCGAGAGACUAACAUCUUGCGACGAUUGGUGAAAUCUAAAUACUAUUUAUAACUUGCAUUUUUAAUAGAUCUGUUCCAUGGCUUUAAAUUAUGUAACUAGUGUGAAAGUGUAAUCAGUACAAUUAUAUUUGUAUGUUGCAGAAGCGAACCUUGGGAUUAAUAAUGGCAAAACAAUUUGAUAGGAUGGUGGAUUUCAAAGAAUUUAUAUUGCAAGUUGCAGAUGUGCCUCAACAGUCUCCACACAAUAGAUUUGGACUCCGCACACAGAGUAAUACCCGAACGUAACUCGUAAAGGCACCGCAUUUUGGGGGGUACGAGCGAGGCAUGAGACAUGUACAGAUUAGCGUAAUUUAGUUGUUUUGAAUUUUGAAUAUGUACUCACGCUAGUACCCGACUAGGGUUGAUUGUACUCGAUUUGUAAACACUUUGGAAUAUUUUAGUGUGUAGAAGUUUUGUAUCUGGAUUUGAGUAUCAAUGUAUUUAUUAAGUGGAUGUGUUAUUCAUUUUC
This is a non-coding RNA of Coffea arabica (coffee), 1552 nucleotides long. The record is from RefSeq and is a predicted model, not a curated record. Lineage: Eukaryota; Viridiplantae; Streptophyta; Magnoliopsida; Gentianales; Rubiaceae.